RNAcentral lists this ribosomal RNA (265 nucleotides) under uncultured bacterium. RNAcentral's name for it is "partial 16S ribosomal RNA". It matches the Rfam family "Bacterial small subunit ribosomal RNA", at positions 793 to 1055 of the family's 1533-position model. The record is from RNAcentral.
GUCCACGCCGUAAACGAUGGGCACUAGGCGUCGGGGGGAGCGACCCUCCCGGUGCCGUCGCUAACGCAGUAAGUGCCCCGCCUGGGGAGUACGGCCGCAAGGCUGAAACUCAAAGGAAUUGACGGGGGCCCGCACAAGCGGUGGAGCAUGUGGUUUAAUUCGAAGCAACGCGAAGAACCUUACCUGGGCUUGACAUGCAUGGGAAAGCCGGUGGAAACAUCGGUUCCUCUUCGGAGUCCAUGCACAGGUGCUGCAUGGCUGUCGU